CGCGUACACGACCUACCUUAAAGAGGGGGAUAGCCUCGGGAAACUGAGAAUAAUACCCCAUGUGGUUAACUUUACUAAACGGUUAAUUAAAGGCUUCGGCCGCUUUAAGAUGGGUGUGCGUACUAUUAGAUAGUUGGUGAGGUAACGGCUCACCAAGUCGACGAUAGUUAGGGGGCGUGAGAGCGUGAUCCCCCACACGGGUACUGAGACACGGACCCGACUCCUACGGGAGGCAGCAGUAAGGAAUAUUGGACAAUGGAGGAAACUCUGAUCCAGCCAUCCCGCGUGAAGGAUGAAUGC
Molecule: ribosomal RNA, 300 nt
Filed under: uncultured Saprospiraceae bacterium
Lineage: Bacteria; Pseudomonadati; Bacteroidota; Saprospiria; Saprospirales; Saprospiraceae
Description: bacterial SSU rRNA
Rfam family: Bacterial small subunit ribosomal RNA
Source: RNAcentral